GGAGGAGUGGCCGAGUGGUCGAAGGCGGCGGUCUUGAAAACCGCAGUGCGGGCAACCGCACCGGGGGUUCGAAUCCCUCCUCCUCCGCCA
RNAcentral lists this transfer RNA (90 nucleotides) under Pseudomonadota bacterium. RNAcentral describes it as "Proteobacteria bacterium (activated sludge metagenome) tRNA-Ser". It matches the Rfam family "tRNA". Rfam says of the family: Transfer RNA (tRNA) molecules are approximately 80 nucleotides in length. Their secondary structure includes four short double-helical elements and three loops (D, anti-codon, and T loops). Lineage: Bacteria; Pseudomonadati; Pseudomonadota. The record is from RNAcentral.